GGUGCUGCAUGGCUGUCGUCAGUUCGUGUCGUGAGAUGUUGGGUUAAGUCCCGCAACGAGCGCAACCCCUAUCUUUAGUUGCCAUCAGGUUGGGCUGGGCACUCUAGAGAGACUGCCGGUGACAAGCCGGAGGAAGGUGGGGAUGACGUCAAGUCCUCAUGGCCCUUAUGUCCUGGGCUACACACGUGCUACAAUGGCGGUGACAGUGGGAAGCUAGGUGGUGACACCAUGCUGAUCUCUAAAAGCCGUCUCAGUUCGGAUUGCACUCUGCAACUCGAGUGCAUGAAGGUGGAAUCGCUAGUAAUCGCGGAUCAACAUGCCGCGGUGAAUACGUUCCCGGGUCUUGUACACAC
Molecule: ribosomal RNA, 353 nt
Filed under: uncultured bacterium
Lineage: Bacteria
Description: bacterial SSU rRNA
Rfam family: Bacterial small subunit ribosomal RNA
Source: RNAcentral